RNAcentral lists this transfer RNA (75 nucleotides) under Acidobacteriota bacterium. Its description in RNAcentral is "Acidobacteria bacterium (bioreactor metagenome) tRNA-Lys". It matches the Rfam family "tRNA". From Rfam's summary of the family: Transfer RNA (tRNA) molecules are approximately 80 nucleotides in length. Their secondary structure includes four short double-helical elements and three loops (D, anti-codon, and T loops). Lineage: Bacteria; Pseudomonadati; Acidobacteriota. The record is from RNAcentral.
GCGCCGCUAGCUCAGUGGUAGAGCAUCUGACUUUUAAUCAGGUGGUCCUGGGUUCGAUCCCCAGGCGGCGCACCA